Molecule: ribosomal RNA, 360 nt
Filed under: Salmonella enterica subsp. enterica serovar Braenderup
Lineage: Bacteria; Pseudomonadati; Pseudomonadota; Gammaproteobacteria; Enterobacterales; Enterobacteriaceae
Description: partial 23S ribosomal RNA
Rfam family: Bacterial large subunit ribosomal RNA
Source: RNAcentral
UGAGUAAGGCGGGACACGUGAAAUCCUGUCUGAAAUUCGGAGGACCACCUUCGAAGCCUAAGUACUCGUGCAUGACCGAUAGCGAACUAGUACCGUGAGGGAAAGGUGAAAAGCACCCCAACGAGGGGAGUGAAAAAGUACCUGAAACUGGUUGCCUACAAACAGAUGGAGCCUGAAAGGGUGACAUCGUACCUUUUGUAUAAUGGGUCAGCGACUUAGUGUAUCGAGCAAGCUUAAGCCGGUAGGUGUAGGCGCAGCGAAAGCGAGUCUGAACAGGGCGUUCAGUUCGAUGCAUUAGACCCGAAACCGAGUGAUCUAGCCAUGAGCAGGUUGAAGGUGAGGUAACACUCACUGGAGGAC